AAAGCUCGUAGUUGAACCUCGGGAUCAAUGGGUCGGUCAUGCCAAUGGUAUGUACUGGCCUCAUUGGUUCUCACCUUCUAAGGAACCAUGAUGUCAUUCAUUUGAUGUUGUGGGGAAUUAGGACUGUUACCUUGAAAAAAUUAGAGUGUUUAAAGCAGGCUAACGCUUGAAUACAUUAGCAUGGAAUAAUGAAAUAGGACAUCGCAUUCUAUUUUGUUGGUUUCUAGGAUCGAUGUAAUGAUUAAUAGGGAUAGUUGGGGGCAUUAGUAUUCAAUUGUCAGAGGUGAAAUUCUUGGAUUUAUUGAAGACUAACUACUGCGAAAGCAUUUGCCAAGGAUGUUUUCAUUAAUCAAGAACGAAAGUUAGGGGAUCGAAGACGAUCAGAUACCGUCGUAGUCUUAACCAUAAACUAUGCCGACUAGGGAUCGGAUGAUGUUGAUUUUUUAAUGACUCAUUCGG
RNAcentral lists this ribosomal RNA (459 nucleotides) under uncultured Glomus. RNAcentral's name for it is "SSU rRNA". It matches the Rfam family "Eukaryotic small subunit ribosomal RNA", at positions 623 to 1083 of the family's 1831-position model. The record is from RNAcentral. Lineage: Eukaryota; Fungi; Glomeromycota; Glomeromycetes; Glomerales; Glomeraceae.